GAACAGGUAAGCUAAAUUUAAAGCUAUUGGGCUCAUAACCCAACAAUGGAGAACUCCUCUGUUCA
RNAcentral lists this transfer RNA (65 nucleotides) under Facelina bostoniensis. RNAcentral describes it as "tRNA-Met". Lineage: Eukaryota; Metazoa; Mollusca; Gastropoda; Nudibranchia; Facelinidae. The record is from RNAcentral.